This 374-nucleotide ribosomal RNA is filed under the name uncultured eukaryote. RNAcentral's name for it is "partial 18S ribosomal RNA". It matches the Rfam family "Eukaryotic small subunit ribosomal RNA", at positions 592 to 976 of the family's 1831-position model. The record is from RNAcentral.
CAAGAGCGUAUGUAAAAGUUGUUGCAGUUAAAAAGCUCGUAGUUGAACCUUGGGUUUGGUUGGCCGGUCCGCUUUUUUGCGAGUACUGGAUUCAACCGAGCCUUUCCUUCUGGCUAACCAGUCGUUUCGGCGGCUGACGAACCAGGAUUUUUACUUUGAGAAAAUUAGAGUGUUCAAAGCAGGCAUUAGCUUGAAUAUAUUAGCAUGGAAUAAUAGAAUAGGACGUUAUGGUUCUAUUUUGUUGGUUUCUAGGACCAUCGUAAUGAUUAAUAGGGACGGUCGGGGGCAUCAGUAUUCAGUUGUCAGAGGUGAAAUUCUUGGAUUUACUGAAGACUAACUACUGCGAAAGCAUUUGCCAAGGACGUUUUCAUUAA